Non-coding RNA from Albula glossodonta (roundjaw bonefish), 73 nucleotides. The record is from the annotation of a GenBank genome assembly. NCBI's taxonomy places the organism in Eukaryota, Metazoa, Chordata, Actinopteri, Albuliformes, Albulidae.
AGUUCUGUAGUGUAGUGGUUAUUCCAUUUGCUUUAUACUCAGAAGGUCCUGGAUUCGAACUCCAGUGGAACCA